GACGAACGCUGGCGGCGUGCUUAACACAUGCAAGUCGAACGGAAAGGCCCUGCUUGCAGGGUACUUGAGUGGCGAACGGGUGAGUAACACGUGGGUGAUCUGCCCUGCACUUCGGGAUAAGCCUGGGAAACUGGGUCUAAUACCGGAUAGGAGCCAUUUUUAGUGUGAUGGUUGGAAAGUUUUUUCGGUGUAGGAUGAGCUCGCGGCCUAUCAGCUUGUUGGUGGGGUAAUGGCCUACCAAGGCGGCGACGGGUAGCCGGCCUGAGAGGGUGGACGGCCACAUUGGGACUGAGAUACGGCCCAGACUCCUACGGGAGGCAGCAGUGGGGAAUAUUGCACAAUGGGCGCAAGCCUGAUGCAGCGACGCCGCGUGGGGGAUGACGGCCUUCGGGUUGUAAACUCCUUUCGCUAGGGACGAAGCUUUUUGUGACGGUACCUAGAUAAGAAGCACCGGCUAACUACGUG
Molecule: ribosomal RNA, 465 nt
Filed under: uncultured bacterium
Lineage: Bacteria
Description: partial 16S ribosomal RNA
Rfam family: Bacterial small subunit ribosomal RNA
Source: RNAcentral